AAAUCAUUAAGGUAAAUACAAACAUAACAUUAAACAUCAUGCCCUCUUUACUCCCAUAUGCAAACAACUCCCUUACUUUGGUGUUAGCUCGUGUCACUCUAGCGACCUAGUAUAAGUGUGUCAUGAACAUCUUGCAAUAAAAUUAUGGAUACUUAUCAUAUGUAAUGAGGGAGAGGCAUACCCUAACACACUUUCCGUACUUAGAUCAUAUGAACUUAUGAUUGGACCUCUAGCAAGAAUCCGGAACUAUUAGAAAUCAUUAAGGUAAAUACAAACAUAACAUUAAACAUCAUGCCCUCUUUACUCCCAUAUGCAAACAACUCCCUUACUUUGAUGUAAGCUCGUGUCACUCUAGCGACCCAGUAAAAGUGUAUCAUGAACAUAUUGCAAAC
This 392-nucleotide long non-coding RNA is filed under the name Hordeum vulgare. Its description in RNAcentral is "long non-coding RNA (HVUL_LNC004276)". Lineage: Eukaryota; Viridiplantae; Streptophyta; Magnoliopsida; Poales; Poaceae. The record is from RNAcentral.